Molecule: ribosomal RNA, 465 nt
Filed under: uncultured bacterium
Lineage: Bacteria
Description: partial 16S ribosomal RNA
Rfam family: Bacterial small subunit ribosomal RNA
Source: RNAcentral
GACGAACGCUGGCGGCGUGCUUAACACAUGCAAGUCGAACGGAAAGGCCCUGCUUGCAGGGUACUCGAGUGGCGAACGGGUGAGUAACACGUGGGUGAUCUGCCCUGCACUUCGGGAUAAGCCUGGGAAACUGGGUCUAAUACCGGAUAGGAGCCAUUUUUAGUGUGAUGGUUGGAAAGUUUUUUCGGUGUAGGAUGAGCUCGCGGCCUAUCAGCUUGUUGGUGGGGUAAUGGCCUACCAAGGCGGCGACGGGUAGCCGGCCUGAGAGGGUGGACGGCCACAUUGGGGCUGGGAUACGGCCCAGACUCCUACGGGAGGCAGCAGUGGGGAAUAUUGCACAAUGGGCGCAAGCCUGAUGCAGCGACGCCGCGUGGGGGAUGACGGCCUUCGGGUUGUAAACUCCUUUCGCUAGGGACGAAGCUUUUUGUGACGGUACCUAGAUAAGAAGCACCGGCUAACUACGUG